UAGCUCAGCUGGGAGAGCACCUGCCUUACAAGCAGGGGGUCGGCGGUUCGAUCCC
Molecule: transfer RNA, 55 nt
Filed under: Bacillus anthracis (anthrax bacterium)
Lineage: Bacteria; Bacillati; Bacillota; Bacilli; Caryophanales; Bacillaceae
Description: tRNA-Val
Rfam family: tRNA
About the family: Transfer RNA (tRNA) molecules are approximately 80 nucleotides in length. Their secondary structure includes four short double-helical elements and three loops (D, anti-codon, and T loops). Further hydrogen bonds mediate the characteristic L-shaped molecular structure. tRNAs have two regions of fundamental functional importance: the anti-codon, which is responsible for specific mRNA codon recognition, and the 3' end, to which the tRNAs corresponding amino acid is attached (by aminoacyl-tRNA synthetases). tRNAs cope with the degeneracy of the genetic code in two manners: having more than one tRNA (with a specific anti-codon) for a particular amino acid; and 'wobble' base-pairing, i.e. permitting non-standard base-pairing at the 3rd anti-codon position.
Source: RNAcentral